GAAACACUGAAACAACACCCAGGAUUUGCAGGCAGAUUUAUUUAACCUUGGAUGGGCACUGACUAAGAAUCAGUUGUUCCUCAAAAUGUCAGGCCUCAAAAGCCCAGGGAAGGAGGUUUGUGUGAAAUUGCAGAGAGGUGGGGGGCACAGAAGUAGAGGACUUGGCAGUCUCUGAUUUGUUCUUACAAUAAACGUCACAGUGACCAGCUAUUUCUGACAGCAGCAACCGAACUGCAACAGGAACUAUUCCUUGACAACUGAAGUGUAUUGGCUGAGGGGCAUUUUCUGCUACAGUGAAGGUUUUCAAAGGUAAUGCAGGAAUUGUCAGACUUCAAGCAGCAGCACCAAUACCCUCAGGAGCUAUCACAUCGAGAUCCACAGCUACCAUUUUUCAGAGUUCUUUUACCUUCUCUCUUGACCCGGUUGUCAAAGAACUCACCUAAGGAUCCAAAGAAGAGAUGAAAGGCAAAGUCAGGCCAGUCAGUGAGGAUGAGGUCAGGGCAGUUCUAAACAGGAUUUAUUGUAUACUCAGAGAGGGAAAUCCAGGGAUUGAGAGAGGGUAAAAUUAUCAUCUCCCACUGCACUGAGAAACCUUUCCUGAAAGAGGUGGAGCUUUGAAGACUUGGUCUUAAUUCAAAAAUGUAGAACACCGCCUUUUUCUUCUAUACUUUCUUUAUCCAGCAGCAAAACAAAAUACGCUCUAGCAUGCCGGCACACUUAGCUCGCGAGCUGUCUGCCCAAUUCAGGAUGGUAACACCCCACCCACUUCCUCCUUCUGACUCUCAAGGGAAGAAAAUUUGAACCUUGUUUAGGCUGAAUCUGUAAAAUGAGAAAAAAAUAUUUUUCGUCUUUCUUUCUUGCAGCUUCUCUCUGCUUCUUGGAAAAUGCAGUUGUAAAUGCACACAACUGAUUGACCGUGUAUGAGCCAGAAUCCAAGUGUUACCCCAAAGCAAAGGAAAAAUUGGGGCACCCUCUCCUGAGGGAAAGUGUCCAAAGACAAGGUCUCCUGGAGCAGAGGAUCCAGUUACAUUUUGUUUGGAUUUAGAUCCUUCCCCAGCUGUGGACACUUUAUUUUUGUUUCUUUGCUUCCUCCUACCCCAUUCCCAGCCCUCUGGCUGGUUUUCCUUCCAAUGGUUACUUUUAAACCUUGUUUUCCUUCCAAUGCUUACUUUCCCCUUCUCUAUUUAUCUCUGUGCCUUAACCCUGCCAAUGACCUCCUAAGAAUUUAGUUAGGCAUAGGAGUGUUCCUUGGACCUGAGAUUUUGUAUUUUUAGCUGGGCAAAAAGAUAUUGCAUGCCUGUAAUCCCAGCUACUUGGGAGACUGAGGCAGGAGGAUCAAAAGUUUGAGGCCAGACUGGGCCAUCUCAAAAUAAAAUAAUAAAAUAACAAAAUAAGAAGACCUGGGACUAUAGCUCAGUGCAAAGAUUGAUUAUAGCUCAACAUAAGCCCCUGGAUUCUAUACCCAGUACCAAAAAUUUGUUAAAACAAAACAAAACAAAACAAAACAAAACAACAUAAACCAUGUGCUGAGCACAGUGCGGUGUAUUUUAGGAGCUACACUGAGGACUCAGACCAGUCUGUUUAGAAGUUUCAGUAGACAGAGGAUAAAACCACUUGCGACAUAGGAAGGAAUGCUAGGUAGAGUUUAAAACCGCAUGCACUGGGGGUUGAAGGAGUGGCGUGACUUUCGGGUUCACAGGAGAGAGCGUCCUGGUACGCAGGGCAUCUGGGACUUCGAGGAGGCUGGGAGGACACGCCAAGGGCAAGUUCUCAGGCCGAAGUCCACCUCCCCAGUGUCUCUGCCUGGCUGCCUCCUGCAUUCUGUCUCAGCUUCGGAGUCCUCCAGCCCCUGCCUAGACUGUGACUGGGAUCUCUGCCAGGCUUUAUACAAACAAGAAACAAGGAAGGAACACAUAAGUUUGGAGAUGGGCUGCUGGUCGCUUUGCUGCUCCAACCACCCCACUCUCCACACAGCACAGCGCUGGACCCAGGAAGGAGCAGCACACAGAAAACUGUGGGUUGUGGUUGUGGUUGUUGUUGCUGGUGUUGUUUUCUCUUCCUGCAGAGCUAGGGAUUGAACACAGGGCCCAGCAAAUGCUAGGCAAGGACUCUGCCACCACACUGUAGCCCCAGUAGAAUGCAGUUUUUAAAGUGACACAUUUUAUUGUGUCCACCUGUAGUCCCAGCUAUUCAGAAAGCUGAGACAGGAGAAUUGCUUGAGUCCAAAAGUUUGAGAAUUUCCUGGACAACAUAUGGUGACCCCAUCUUUUUAAAUUAAACUGCUUUUUAAGAAAAAUUCCAUCUAAUAUUGUAUGUUUUCAUGCAAAGUCAUGUCAGCACAUUGUUUUCCCAAGGACAUUUGCAUUUGAAGUCUUCUAAUUAUGUUCUCCAAUGAAGGUAAUUCCAAGCUUGUGCUAGAAGAGAGGUUGGUGGAACGUGCAGUACAAAGAGCCUUGUUUCUUGGAUCUUUUUUCUCUCAUCUAUAAACUGAGAGGAUUGGCUUGAUCCCCAGCUCUGGUAUCUACAGGUUGCUGAUUUGCUUGGUGUUAGUAGAUCCAGGGCCCUCCACAAACUGCCCCCAAAUGGAGCCUCUUGUCAGGACUCACAGGAGAAGCUGAAGACAUACUGUGUGUGUGAGGAGAUGUGGAUCACACAUUAUGGAGGCUGACAAAUACCAAGAUCCACAGAGUGAGACUGCAAGCUGGAGCCUCAGGGGAGCCUCCAGGGUACUUCCAGUGCAGGCCAGCAACUCAAGACCCAGGGAAAAGCCAACAUCCCUGCCCAGAGGCAACCAGGCCUUCUGCUGAGGAGCGAGGCCCAUCCGCACUAGAGGGCAGUCUGCCGUGUGGGCUAUCAGUUUAGAUGUUUAUCUCAUCCAGAAUCAACCUCACUAAGAUACCUGGGGUAGGGUUCCACCUGGUAUCUGAACAGCUCAUGCUCAGCCAGAAUUUACCAUCUCGUCCCCAGAGCAGGGUGAUCGUGGUUGGCAGAUCUGAUAGAGCUGUCAUCUGAGCCCACACUUUGAACUGCUGGACAGAAAAUUGCUUCUGUUUCCCCCAGCAUCCGGCCCACUUCAUCUGAUUUCUUUUCUUAGCCCUUCACAACUUCAGUUUUUUUUUUUUAACUAGAAAUUUUUUUUUUUUGUCUUUUUCCUUUUUAUCGGUACCGGGGAUCGAACUCACGACUGUCUGCUUUCAAGGCAGGCGCUUAUGCCGCUGAGCUAAAUCCCCAGUCCUUAACUAGAAUUUAAAGGCAUUUUAAUAAAAUAUUACUGUGCAGAUCAGAGGCUCAUUAAUUAAAUAAUUCUGAAUAUACUGAAACAAAAACCACAAACUCAUUCAAAAUAAUGUGAAACCACUUACUACUCACUCAGGGCAGUGGUUCCGCCAUCCACAGUUUCGCUUUCUGUGUUCCUCUCAGUCAACCGCAAUUCAAAAAUACUAAUGGAAAACUCCAGAAUUAAAAAUUUCAUGUUUUUAAUUGCUGCCCUUAGCAGUGUGAUGAGAUCUUGUACCAUCCUGUCCAUUUUGCCUGAGAUACAAAUCAGUCUGGUGUUCACAGUCUCCACAGUGUAUAUGCUACCUCCUCCUGUCUCAUUGUAAUUUUUAUUACAGUAUAUUGUUAUAAUUGUUGUAUACUACUAAUAGUUAUUGUUGUUCAUCUCUUACUCUGCCUCAUUUAUCUAUUUAUUGCCAUUUUAUUUUUGAACACAGGAACU
Cavia porcellus (domestic guinea pig) is the source of this 3718-nucleotide long non-coding RNA. RefSeq lists it as uncharacterized. The transcript is spliced from 3 exons. NCBI's taxonomy places the organism in Eukaryota, Metazoa, Chordata, Mammalia, Rodentia, Caviidae. The record is from RefSeq and is a predicted model, not a curated record.